Molecule: long non-coding RNA, 1063 nt
Organism: Formica exsecta
Lineage: Eukaryota; Metazoa; Arthropoda; Insecta; Hymenoptera; Formicidae
Exons: 6
Source: RefSeq, a predicted model, not a curated record
GACGGCCUUCGAGAUACUCGACCUGACGUUGCUCGACCACCGCGAACUUACCCGACCUUAUCUUGGAUCCAAGAACACAUACUGAGCUAUCUUUUCUGUGUAGCAUUCUGUAUCGGGAAUCAUAGUUUGAUCUAUCUAAUCCAUCUGAUAGUUGUAGCGAUGUGAAAGUUUAAAAACGUGUCUAAAUAAUAUUGGAAAUAUGCUUCAAAAAUGUGCAUUGCCAAGAAAAUAUGCCGUCGAUAUAUCAAGAUCCAUUUGCUCGUACAAGAACGUUUUGCCAAGGUGUAUGACCGAGCGACUCUUCGCAUUGAUAGCAUCUAUAAUUCGGUGAACUUCCUCGUCUAAAAUCAAAGAUAAUGGCCAAAAGGAUAAUAAGUAAUGAGACAAGCUAUUUGCAAAGUACCCUGGAGUGGAAAAGGAACUUCUUUCCGUGCACACCGCGAUGUCACAUGCCGCGACCAACUGACAACCAGCUGCAGCUGCCAAACCGUCCACCGCCGCGAUCACCGGCACCGGGCUCUGACUAAUGGUCCGCAUGAGUUCUGCACAGGUCUCGAACACGUCCUUGUGGAAUUUAGCGUUGGUUGUGUCCGGCGGAAAACACUUUUCCAGAGUCGGAUAUCAAUAGGAUCGAUCGAAGAUCCUUGUUGUCCUCGUCUCUUUUGAUCUCUUUUAGCAGAAUCUUUAACAUCUCUAACGAUAGAGAGUUACGCGAGGCAGAAUCGCUCAAACGGAUAGUUCUGAUCUGAAAUAAGAUUUAAAUGGUGAAUAUUGCAAAAAGAUUGAAAAAAGUAUAUGAUCCCUACUUCAAACUGUGGAGAAGAGCUCGAUGACGCACGGUGUGCGUUCCCAUAACGACCAGUGUUUCCCUUAACGACUAACAUGGCUGAAGCUGAGGGGUAAACAGCGUGACCGCGGUCACCGGCGCACAGUUACAAGAAAUAUUACAGGAAACUACCUCGGCACAGAAGCUAUCGACCUCUAUUUCGUAAUAGAAAGCGACUUUAGGACGGAUUUUGAAAGUGCACGUGGAGAACGGACGCGAGAAGUAUAUACACAUGUG